Molecule: ribosomal RNA, 753 nt
Filed under: Galerina triscopa
Lineage: Eukaryota; Fungi; Basidiomycota; Agaricomycetes; Agaricales; Galerinaceae
Description: eukaryotic LSU rRNA
Rfam family: Eukaryotic large subunit ribosomal RNA
Source: RNAcentral
CCCUAGUAACUGCGAGUGAAGCGGGAAAAGCUCAAAUUUAAAAUCUGGCGGUCUUUGGCUGUCCGAGUUGUAAUCUAGAGAAGUGUUAUCCGCGCUGGACCGUGUACAAGUCUCCUGGAAUGGAGCGUCAUAGAGGGUGAGAAUCCCGUCUUUGACACGGACUGCCAGGGCUUUGUGAUGCGCUCUCAAAGAGUCGAGUUGUUUGGGAAUGCAGCUCAAAAUGGGUGGUAAAUUCCAUCUAAAGCUAAAUAUUGGCGAGAGACCGAUAGCGAACAAGUACCGUGAGGGAAAGAUGAAAAGAACUUUGGAAAGAGAGUUAAACAGUACGUGAAAUUGCUGAAGGGGAAACGCUUGAAGUCAGUCGCGUUGGCCGGAACUCAACCUUGCUUUUGCUGGGCGUACUUUCCGGUUGACGGGUCAGCAUCAAUUUUGACCGUUGGAUAAAGGUUAGGGGAAUGUGGCAUCUUCGGAUGUGUUAUAGCCCUUGGUCGCAUACAACGGUUGGGAUUGAGGAACUCAGCACGCCGCAAGGCCGGGUAUUUUACCACGUUCGUGCUUAGGAUGCUGGCAUAAUGGCUUUAAUCGACCCGUCUUGAAACACGGACCAAGGAGUCUAACAUGCCUGCGAGUGUUUGGGUGGAAAACCCGAGCGCGUAAUGAAAGUGAAAGUUGAGAUCCCUGUCGUGGGGAGCAUCGACGCCCGGACCAGACCUUUUGUGACGGAUCCGCGGUAGAGCAUGUAUGUUGGGACCC